GACGAACGCUGGCGGCAUGCCUAACACAUGCAAGUCGAACGAGACCUUCGGGUCUAGUGGCGCACGGGUGCGUAACGCGUGGGAACCUGCCCUUAGGUUCGGAAUAACUCCCCGAAAGGGGUGCUAAUACCGGAUAAUGUCUUCGGACCAAAGAUUUAUCGCCUUUGGAUGGGCCCGCGUUGGAUUAGCUAGUUGGUAGGUUAAAAGCCUACCAAGGCGACGAUCCAUAGCUGGUCUGAGAGGAUGAUCAGCCACACUGGGACUGAGACACGGCCCAGACUCCUACGGGAGGCAGCAGUGGGGAAUAUUGGACAAUGGGCGAAAGCCUGAUCCAGCAAUGCCGCGUGAGUGAUGAAGGCCUUAGGGUUGUAAAGCUCUUUUACCCGGGAUGAUAAUGACAGUACCGGGAGAAUAAGCUCCGGCUAACUCCGUG
Molecule: ribosomal RNA, 433 nt
Filed under: uncultured bacterium
Lineage: Bacteria
Description: partial 16S ribosomal RNA
Rfam family: Bacterial small subunit ribosomal RNA
Source: RNAcentral